GACGAACGCUGGCGGCGUGCUUAACACAUGCAAGUCGAACGGACAGGCCCUGCUUUUGUGGGGUGCUCGAGUGGCGAACGGGUGAGUAACACGUGAGUAUCCUGCACUUGACUUUGGGAUAACUUCAGGAAACUGGGGAUCAUACCGGAUAGGAGCUCCUGAUGCAUGUUGGGGGAUGGUAAGUUUCGGCGGUUGGGGAUCGACUCGCGGCUUAUCAGCUUGUUGGUGGGGUAGUGGCUUACCAAGGCUUUGACGGGUAGCCGGCCUGAGAGGGUGACCGGCCACAAGAGGACUGAGAGACGGCCCAGACGGCUACGGGAGGCAGCAGUGGAGAAUAUUGCACAGUGGGCGGAAGCCUGAUGCAGCAACGCCGCGUUCGGGAUGACGGCCUUCUAGUUGUAAACCGCUGUCGCCGGUGACGAAGCGUUAGUGACGGUAAUUAGUAAAGAAGCACCGGCUAACUACGUG
Molecule: ribosomal RNA, 468 nt
Filed under: uncultured bacterium
Lineage: Bacteria
Description: partial 16S ribosomal RNA
Rfam family: Bacterial small subunit ribosomal RNA
Source: RNAcentral